GUCAAAACGUAAUAUAGAAAAGUUGUGCUACGUAGGAUACCCAAUCAGCAGCCCCGACAAACCAAAAUGCGCCGCGUGGCAAAGGACGCUAAUGCGGUGCCACACGGGCGAUCUACGUGCCUACGAUCAGAUGGUUCAGAUUCGCUCCCGUGCGCACGGACGGCUCAUAUUGGUGCACUACCCAAACGCGAUCAAAUGGUCAUAAUUAAAUGCGAUCAACGGUCCAGAUCUACUUCUUAUUUAAUCGCGAUCGGAUGGCCCAGAUCAAAUACGAUGAACAACCUAGAUUAAAAGGGAACUAGUGUAAAUAACCCUCUUCACACCAAACCCUAACCCUAGCCACUGGAUACCUCACGGGAGAAAAAGACCCAGCCGUUGGGAAGGAGAGCCGCCACCACCCGUCGUCGCGCCAGAACCACUUCCGACUACCAAAAGAGGUAAAAAUUUUCUCCUAUGCUUGGAAUUCAAUUUUAAACACCCCCAUGGUCAAAUUGAAGCUAAAAAAUCGACAGAUUAGCCGAAAACUGCGGGUAAAGCCCGGCGCCGCCGCCGCGAGAAAUUUCAAAAACUGCCUCCGAUGAGGCCCUUCCCAAUUCCCGUUCUGCGAAAUUUUUCCACCAUUGUAAUCACCUUUUUCUUCUUUACAUGUUAACUGAAGCAAAUACCCAACCGCAAAAGUGAGCUGGCAGAGCCGCCGCAUUGGAGAGCCCCGCCGCUGGUGAGUUUCAAUUUUUUU
This 736-nucleotide long non-coding RNA is filed under the name Carica papaya (papaya). Its description in RNAcentral is "long non-coding RNA (CPAP_LNC016498)". The record is from RNAcentral. Lineage: Eukaryota; Viridiplantae; Streptophyta; Magnoliopsida; Brassicales; Caricaceae.